GAUGAACGCUGGCGGCGUGCCUAAUACAUGCAAGUCGAGCGAACGGACAAGCUUGCUUCUCUGAUGUUAGCGGCAGACGGGUGAGUAACACGUGGAUAACCUACCUAUAAGACUGGGAUAACUUCGGGAAACCGUAGCUAAUACCGGAUAAUAUUUUGAACCGCAUGGUUCAAAAGUGAAAGACGGUCUUGCUGUCACUUAUAGAUGGAUCCGCGCUGCAUUAGCUAGUUGGUAAGGUAACGGCUUACCAAGGCAACGAUGCAUAGCCGACCUGAGAGGGUGAUCGGCCACACUGGAACUGAGACACGGUCCAGACUCCUACGGGAGGCAGCAGUAGGGAAUCUUCCGCAAUGGGCGAAAGCCUGACGGAGCAACGCCGCGUGAGUGAUGAAGGUCUUCGGAUCGUAAAACUCUGUUAUUAGGGAAGAACAUAUGUGUAAGUAACUGUGCACAUCUUGACGGUACCUAAUCAGAAAGCCACGGCUAACUACGUG
RNAcentral lists this ribosomal RNA (494 nucleotides) under uncultured bacterium. RNAcentral describes it as "partial 16S ribosomal RNA". It matches the Rfam family "Bacterial small subunit ribosomal RNA", at positions 28 to 507 of the family's 1533-position model. The record is from RNAcentral.